RNAcentral lists this transfer RNA (72 nucleotides) under Daphnia galeata. It matches the Rfam family "tRNA". Rfam says of the family: Transfer RNA (tRNA) molecules are approximately 80 nucleotides in length. Lineage: Eukaryota; Metazoa; Arthropoda; Branchiopoda; Diplostraca; Daphniidae. The record is from Rfam by way of RNAcentral.
GGGGGCAUAGCUCAGUGAAAGAGUAUCCCACUGCAGAUCGGAAUGUCCCCGGUUCAACCCCGGGUGCCCCCU